RNAcentral lists this ribosomal RNA (397 nucleotides) under Staphylococcus aureus. RNAcentral describes it as "partial 23S ribosomal RNA". It matches the Rfam family "Bacterial large subunit ribosomal RNA", at positions 1163 to 1561 of the family's 2925-position model. Lineage: Bacteria; Bacillati; Bacillota; Bacilli; Caryophanales; Staphylococcaceae. The record is from RNAcentral.
GCCGAAAAUGUACCGGGGCUAAACAUAUUACCGAAGCUGUGGAUUGUCCUUUGGACAAUGGUAGGAGAGCGUUCUAAGGGCGUUGAAGCAUGAUCGUAAGGACAUGUGGAGCGCUUAGAAGUGAGAAUGCCGGUGUGAGUAGCGAAAGACGGGUGAGAAUCCCGUCCACCGAUUGACUAAGGUUUCCAGAGGAAGGCUCGUCCGCUCUGGGUUAGUCGGGUCCUAAGCUGAGGCCGACAGGCGUAGGCGAUGGAUAACAGGUUGAUAUUCCUGUACCACCUAUAAUCGUUUUAAUCGAUGGGGGGACGCAGUAGGAUAGGCGAAGCGUGCGAUUGGAUUGCACGUCUAAGCAGUAAGGCUGAGUAUUAGGCAAAUCCGGUACUCGUUAAGGCUGAGC